AUGAACUCUGGCGGCGUGCCUCAUACAUGCCAGUCGCGCGAACAGACGAGGAGCUUGCUCCUCUGACGUUAGCGGCGGACGGGUGAGUAACACGUGGAUAACCUACCUAUAAGACUGGGAUAACUUCGGGAAACCGGAGCUAAUACCGGAUAAUAUAUUGAACCGCAUGGUUCAAUAGUGAAAGACGGUUUUGCUGUCACUUAUAGAUGGAUCCGCGCCGCAUUAGCUAGUUGGUAAGGUAACGGCUUACCAAGGCGACGAUGCGUAGCCGACCUGAGAGGGUGAUCGGCCACACUGGAACUGAGACACGGUCCAGACUCCUACGGGAGGCAGCAGUAGGGAAUCUUCCGCAAUGGGCGAAAGCCUGACGGAGCAACGCCGCGUGAGUGAUGAAGGUCUUCGGAUCGUAAAACUCUGUUAUUAGGGAAGAACAAAUGUGUAAGUAACUAUGCACGUCUUGACGGUACCUAAUCAGAAAGCCACGGCUAACUACGUG
This 496-nucleotide ribosomal RNA is filed under the name uncultured bacterium. Its description in RNAcentral is "partial 16S ribosomal RNA". It matches the Rfam family "Bacterial small subunit ribosomal RNA", at positions 29 to 507 of the family's 1533-position model. The record is from RNAcentral.